Pelobates cultripes (western spadefoot toad) is the source of this 525-nucleotide non-coding RNA. Lineage: Eukaryota; Metazoa; Chordata; Amphibia; Anura; Pelobatidae. The record is from the annotation of a GenBank genome assembly.
AACAGGGAUAUUAGCAUUUGUCAGUGACUUUUGUAAGUCUUUAGCUGACACUCUAGGAUUCUUCUUCACCUCAUUGAGCAGUCUGCUCUGUGCUCUUGCAGUCAUCUUUACAGGACGGCCACUCCUAGGGAGAGUAGCAGCAGUGCUGAACUUUCUCCAUUUAUAGACAAUUUGUCUUACUGUGGACUGAUGAACAGCAAGGCUUUUGGAGAUACUUUUAUAACCCUUUCCAGCUUUAUGCAAGUCAACAAUUCUUAAUCGUAGGUCUUCUGAGAGCUCUUUUGUGCGAGGCAUCAUUCACAUCAGGCAAUGCUUCUUGUGAAAAGCAAACCCAGAACUGGUGUGUGUUUUUUAUAGGGCAGGGCAGCUGUAACCAACACCUCCAAUCUCAUCUCAUUGAUUGGACUCCAGUUGGCUGACAUCUCACUCCAAUUAGCUCUUGGAGAUGUCAUUAGUCUAGGGGUUCACAUACUUUUUCCACCUGCAUUGUGAAUGUUUACAUGGUGUGUUCAAUAGAAACAUGGC